UUUGCUUUUAAAUUUUAAAAGAAACAAAAUUAAAACUAAAAGAAAGUUUCAGACUCUUUCUUUUUCUGUAGGAUUUUUUUAGGGUUCCCUCAACCCUUUGAGCACCGCCGCUCCCCUUUGCGCCAAGGCUCCGAUUGCGACGGAGAUGGCCAUGACUCGGCGGGUUCGGCGUAUGGGUGUUCGUGGAGAGAAACGCGUGCGUGGAGGAGAGAUCAGCCCGAGACGUGCGGCGCUUGGACGCUUGCUGAAGGCGUUGGGGGCUGUUGCUGGUGGCUUGCUGCUUAGGGCUAGGUUUUUUUGCUUUUUGUUUUUUUUGCUGUAUUGGGCUUGUUUAAUGCUUUGGGCCCGUUUAUUGGUUUGGGCCCGGGCAUAUUUGGGUUUGUACAUAUCCGAUUCUGUAUGUGAGUAUAUGUCAAAUCUAUAACUGAAAACGUGUCCAUUAUUUAUGUAUAUCUGAUUGUGGGUCGGGUCACACGCAGGGGCUUCUAGCUCACUUGUUUGUUUAA
Long non-coding RNA from Gossypium raimondii (Peruvian cotton), 506 nucleotides. RefSeq lists it as uncharacterized. The transcript is spliced from 2 exons. The record is from RefSeq and is a predicted model, not a curated record. NCBI's taxonomy places the organism in Eukaryota, Viridiplantae, Streptophyta, Magnoliopsida, Malvales, Malvaceae.